AUGGUCGUCCCUCCACCAGACAGGGCCGCUAGGAUCGUCGGUUUUCUCAAGCCCUACCUUUUGAGGAUGCAUUUCUCGAACAAGUAUGUAACCGCCCAGGUCAUCCAUACCCCAACAGCAACCGUCGCGUGUUCUGCAAGCUCGCAGGAGAAGCUGCUGAGACCGAACUUGGAGUCGACCCGUGACGUCUCUGCCGCGGCAAAGAUUGGGAAGCUGCUGGGCGAGCGCCUGCUGCUCAAAGGGAUACCUGCCGUGUCCAUCCACAUGAAGAGAGAGCAGAAGUACCACGGGAAAGUCAAGGCCGUUAUUGAUUCCGUCAGAGAAUCUGGUGUGAAGCUGUUGUGA
This 345-nucleotide ribosomal RNA is filed under the name Triticum aestivum (bread wheat). RNAcentral's name for it is "partial small subunit ribosomal RNA". The record is from RNAcentral. Lineage: Eukaryota; Viridiplantae; Streptophyta; Magnoliopsida; Poales; Poaceae.